RNAcentral lists this ribosomal RNA (625 nucleotides) under Falklandius sp. FAM1. RNAcentral describes it as "partial 16S ribosomal RNA". It matches the Rfam family "Bacterial large subunit ribosomal RNA", at positions 1819 to 2739 of the family's 2925-position model. Lineage: Eukaryota; Metazoa; Arthropoda; Insecta; Coleoptera; Curculionidae. The record is from RNAcentral.
GGCCUUUUGUUUAUGAUUUAAGGUCUAGCCUGCCCAAUGAGAUUUUGAAUGGCCGCGGUAUUUUAACCGUGCAAAGGUAGCAUAAUCAUUAGUUUUUUAAUUAAAAGCUGGUAUGAAUGGUUGAAUGAAAAAAUAACUGUCUCUAUUUAAAUUUUUUAGAAUUUUAUUUUUAAGUAAAAAAGCUUAAAUUAUAUUAGAAGACGAGAAGACCCUGUAGAGUUUAAUUAAUUAUUAUAAUAGGAUUUUUAGUAUUCUUAUUUUUAUUAUUUAUAAUUAAUUUAGUUGGGGUGAUUUAAAAAUUUAAUAAACUUUUUUUAUAUUUAUACAUUAAUUUAUGAUUACUUGAUCCUUAUUUUAAGAUUAAAAGAUAAAAUUACCUUAGGGAUAACAGCGUAAUUUUUUUAGAGAGUUCUAAUCGAAAAAAAAGAUUGCGACCUCGAUGUUGGAUUAAAAUAAAAAUUUGGUGUAGAAGCUAAAGUAUUUAGGUCUGUUCGACCUUUAAAAUUUUACAUGAUCUGAGUUUAAACCGGUGUAAGCCAGGUUGGUUUCUAUCUCUAUUUUAAAUAAAUAUUUUAGUACGAAAGGACCAAAUAUUAGGUUUAAAAUUUUAUAUUUGAAUAUAAUU